RNAcentral lists this long non-coding RNA (568 nucleotides) under Pongo abelii (Sumatran orangutan). RNAcentral's name for it is "lincRNA". The record is from RNAcentral. Lineage: Eukaryota; Metazoa; Chordata; Mammalia; Primates; Hominidae.
GGAGGCGGGUGUCUUCCUCAGGAAUUUGAGCUGGGGAUCUGCAUCCUGGCCAUUGCAGUCCUUUAGCAUCCUCGCCGAGCCCUGAGCGCGCUGGAGGCUCGCAGGCUGCGCCCUCCCAGGGCUGAUGCCGCGUCCUGCUCCGCUGUUCUGGGACGUCGGGGACAAAAGUGGAGGAGACGGGAGAGCCCGGGCAGAAAAAGCAGGACGCGCGUCCCAGCUGCCGUGAAGAUGCCAAACCCACCAAGACUGCGCUGUCCCACCUCUCCCAGGCUGCCCUGGGAGUGCGGGUGACCCGCGAGCGCCAGAAUCUUCCCUUAAGGUGGAGCCACAGCGCCACCUCGCGAUCCUCCAGCUUCCCUCCCUCAUGGCCACGGAAGGCUGGCCCUUUCUGGUCCAAGCCCCCAAGGUCCCACACUUACUGGUUUUCCAUGCACUUUCAUUAUUUCCCUUUCUCUCUCUCCAAUGUUCCCUUAUCCUGAGUAUUGAGGUCCCCAAACACGCCUUUCCACCCCACGUUUGGACAUAGCCGGAAUGUCUACCUCCUUCUCCAUCCGGUGAAGCACUGCUC